GGAGAGGUGGCAGAGUGGUUGAAUGCGCCGGUCUCGAAAACCGGUAACGGGUUUUCCCCGUUCGAGGGUUCGAAUCCCUCCCUCUCCGCCA
This 91-nucleotide transfer RNA is filed under the name Wenzhouxiangella sediminis. RNAcentral's name for it is "tRNA-Ser". It matches the Rfam family "tRNA". From Rfam's summary of the family: Transfer RNA (tRNA) molecules are approximately 80 nucleotides in length. Lineage: Bacteria; Pseudomonadati; Pseudomonadota; Gammaproteobacteria; Chromatiales; Wenzhouxiangellaceae. RNAcentral also lists the same sequence under 6 other names. The record is from RNAcentral.